ACCAGUUCAUACACAUCCGCUGCCAUGUGCAGAUGCACCGGGUCACAGAGUGUGUCGAAGUACUUCCUUACUGCGAAAUUGAUUGCAGGAACUUCCUAUUCUAAGCCUCAUAUAUUUCUUCACACACUGCCACAUUUGCCAGAUUCUUGCAUGUCAUCUCCCUUCAGAAGGCAGAGGUAACUUUUUUUACAACAAGCCGUGUUCCCCAGAUAGCUGAAGUCAAGAUUUCGCGAUUCUUCUGAAGCUCAGGAUCAAAACGUUGAUUACCAGUUCUUAUCAUUGCUGUUGAGUUCUUGAGAACCGUAUUAGCGUGUAAAUCAGACUAAGAUGGGUGCUGCAAACGCAAUACCCGGACUGGACACAUGGAGCCCAAACAGCAAAGAACGUGACUGUAGGUGUGCGGGGUGUGACGUGAUACUCGUUUGCGAGGUGGUGGCCGGUAUGGGUCAGCAUACCUACGCAUUUUUGAAGCAGGCCUUGGGAACAGAAACUGUCACCAUUUCGGGGAAAGUUGGGGCAGGUGGAGGUCCUGAGGGUGCGGCAGUUAACGCCGAGGUGGGGCAGUCAAUUUCAAUCGUAAAGGGUGAGUGGCUCAUCACUUACCUUCGAAAAUUAGGAUACAAGCACAUGUGCACCGACUGUUUUAGGAAGGCCUUUCCUAAGGAUUUUGCAGGAAUUCUCCUAACAUCCGUUGGAAAGGCCAAGGUGAUCAACUCGAAGUAUCAAUGGCUUCAAAUGUCUUAUGGAAAGUAUUGAAUCCUGGAGUUGUUUAUCACCAGUUUAACACAUCCAUCAUGGUGAGAGCAGUUGGUUUACAUUUUGGUGUAAAGCUUUCAAUGUAAUGUAAACCGUACAGUAGUUGCUAUGAAGGUUGUUAUAUGUAAUUGCACAAUGACAAUGUGAAAGCUUUUGUAGUGCAGCUAACUUUCUAAGAAGAGUAAUUAAAUCCAUGCAUGUAUUACAUUUCAUCAAAACUUUUCAAUUUUUUAAAAAAUGAUCAUGCAAGAUUAAAAGGUAUUUGCAAUCAUUUGUUUUAAUACAGACAUUCAAAUAUAUAUUCAAUAUUCAUAUUUAGCUUUUUACUGUUUCUUAGGGUAUAUUACUGCCUUUAUUGAUUUUAUGCUAAUAUUAUUUGCAUAUUCAUAAGUAACACCGUGAUGUCCUCUCAGGUAGAAUGCCUCCAUUUGUUUGUACACAAAAAGUCCUGCAUGUUUUUAGGUUUUGGUGGAGUAAAUUUUCUCUUAAUUAUUGAUGCCUUGUUGCGCACAGCAUUAAGCAAGCAUCAAUCACUUUCCCAUAAAUGUUUUCAGUAAGUAAAUUCUUGCUUCACAAGUUGAACCAAAAACCCAUGCACUGAACUAUUUGUUCCCUGACUGACAUCACGGCAACAGCGCCCUCAUUCGUCCAGGAAAUUUUUGAAAAGCACUUUCCAAUGUAUUUAGCCAGAUAAGAGUGUAAAGGAGAUUCCACACGUUGAAAAAAAGUACAAAGGUGCAAAGUUGUGUUUAAGAAAAAUCCAUUGCCUUUACAGGGGCAUUUCUCAUUGGAUUAUGUAGGUAGACCUCGCGGUGCUUUUGUGCCGACAUUUUGUGACGAUAAAUGUAUGCCUGUGGUUCCCUUCAAUUCGUAUCGUCCAUUAUUUUCAAAUGCUCUUGUACAAAAAACAAAAUGUAAGGUAGAUAUUUGCCAGUCUGAAGAUUUUUCUUUAUCCGUAGUAAAAUGUCAUGUAGCAUUGUAAAUAUCGCCUGAUACCUGUAUAAGAAACAGGGUGUAACAUAAAUAUUUCCUAGUCUCAAGAUAUUUCUUAAUCCGAAAGUAGUUGCCUGAAUAUACUUCAUCCCAAAGUUGUUUGUAUCUGCACCCUGCUCGAAAUACUGCAACCCAGAUUAUAAUUGUCACUCUGGACUCCUUACAGUCGAAUGAUGUGAUCAGGCCAAUUUAUUCUUUUCAAGGGGUUACGUGUCUUGUUUGUCACUUUUCACGACAGGUCUUACUGUCAGCCUUUCGCAAUACUUCUUGACCUUCUAGAUUACUGCAUGCUUUACGAAAUGUAUACUGUAGUUAACAACAAAGGGUCAAGUCUUGAUUAGAAGUUGCUGGGUAUCUUGCAAAUGGAUACUGACGCUGUACGGCAAUAAUGAGCCUGGACUGUUAUGGGUAAAAAAAAUUGGAACAGACAAAAAGUGUUUUGUUCUUUUUUUUUUAAUUUGGCCAAAACCAAACUUAUAAAUCCCAACCUAUGCGGUUAUUGUCAAUUUUACAGUGCCAAGAGGUGAAGAUUUGGUGACUACACUGUCACUGAAUCCUUUACACUGGGUCCAGGUCAGAUAUUACAUCCCAACAACACUGGCACAGACUUGUGGUUUCCGGCCUCACCUUUGGGGAAUUCCCCCACCAAUAGGAAGUGUCCAUCAAUAGUCCGGUUGUGUACAACUAAUUGAGCACGUAUGUACCCCUCGAUUGGUACCUCACUAUUUCCUGCCCCAUACACACGCAGGUAUGUACCUAGAGGCUGCACUUCACUAAGCUUUCCUGCAAGGUGGUCCCUAUAAAAGGAGGAGCUAACUAGAGAAGUCUCUGCCCCGGUAUCGAGGACACAUGUGGUCGACACCCCAGCCAAAGUUAUCUGAGCCUUUGGGCUCUCCCUAACUAGACUGCUUAAAAUAUCCUCACAAGACUUCUCUACAACCCCCUCGACAGGUGAGGCCUUACCAGACUCUCUCUCUGUCACUCGGCCUACAGUGGCAGAGGGGUCCGGUUUACCGCCUGGUUGUCCUUGUUUUCCCCUUUUGCUUGUUCAUGCAUGGUACUGCCCUUAGCCUUUUCAUGGGCAAGGCGAAGCUUACACUCCUGCUUCACAUGACCUGGGCGCUUACAAUAAAAGCAACGAAUUGGUUUGCCCUGUUGCCCUACUGUACCUUGUUGGCCUGGCCUAGGGCCAACCUCACCCCUGCUAGCUACAGCCUGAAUUAGAGUUGUGAUUUGCUCUUGUUGCUUAAAUAGAGCUUCCUGCUGUACCUGCAUGCACCCAAGAAUCUUUUCCUGCUGUUGCAGGAUCUUCUUCAACUGGGUAUCUUCGCUAACAACUGAGUUAAUACUGAUAGUGGCCACUGGCUCAUCAUCCGUACCACUUUCAGCUACCAAGUGGUUGACACCUGCCCCACGUCGGGAACCACGGGGGUUCCCCUCAAGAUCCCUGAAAAGCUCACGGGCUGCAUCCCUCAUUUCAGCAAAACUCUGACUAGGCUUGGCCAGUUCAAAGGGCCUUAAUUCGAGCCUCACCCCCUGAUUCCUUGCACCUGCCACAAACUGACUAAUCAGAACACUAUCCCGCAAACCCUUCAAAGCGGUUCUCUCUGCCUCAGUUGCAACUUCUAAAAUUCUAUCAUGCAUUCGCAUAAGCGCAUGAGAAAAGUCCAUGAGGGUUUCAUCCUCUUUUUGCUGCCGCUCAAAGAGUGUUUUCUGUCACGUAAACAUUUGUGGGAUAUAAAUUUAUUAAACUGUUGUAACAAAGCCUGCAUUUUUUGGUGAGGAAUGGAAGAACAAGUGCAAAUCCUUUUUUUUUUAACUUGGAGUGUUCAUGAUAUUUGUGACUAUAAUAAUGAUAAUCGAAACCUAGAUAAUGGUGUAUUACGUGUACUGAAAAA
Molecule: long non-coding RNA, 3647 nt
Filed under: Acanthaster planci (crown-of-thorns starfish)
Lineage: Eukaryota; Metazoa; Echinodermata; Asteroidea; Valvatida; Acanthasteridae
Description: uncharacterized LOC110986012, transcript variant X1
Source: RNAcentral